This 301-nucleotide ribosomal RNA is filed under the name uncultured bacterium. Its description in RNAcentral is "partial 16S ribosomal RNA". It matches the Rfam family "Bacterial small subunit ribosomal RNA", at positions 509 to 807 of the family's 1533-position model. The record is from RNAcentral.
CAGCAGCCGCGGUAAUACGAAGGGGGCUAGCGUUGCUCGGAAUGACUGGGCGUAAAGGGCGCGUAGGCGGCGAUCAAAGUCAGGCGUGAAAUUCCUGGGCUCAACCUGGGGGCUGCGCUUGAUACUGGGUUGCUUGAGUGGGGAAGAGGGUCGUGGAAUUCCCAGUGUAGAGGUGAAAUUCGUAGAUAUUGGGAAGAACACCGGUGGCGAAGGCGGCGACCUGGUCCUUUACUGACGCUGAGGCGCGAAAGCGUGGGGAGCAAACAGGAUUAGAUACCCCGGUAGUCCCUGUCUCUUAUAC